CCUACGGGUGGCAGCAGUCGGGGAUAUUGCGCAAUGGAGGGAACCCUGAUGCAGCGACGCCGCGUAGAGGAAGAAGCGUCUCGGAGUGUAAACCCCUGUCGUGAGGGAAGAAAUUGACAGUACCUCAGGAGGAAGCUCCGGCUAACUAGGUGCCAGCAGCCGCGGUAAUACAUAGGGAGCAAGCGUUAUCCGGAUUUACUGGGUGUAAGGGGUGCGCAGGCGGCCUGGAAAGUCAGCGGUAAAAGCCGGGGGCUCAACCUCUGGCCGCCGUUGAAACUGUCGGGCCUGAGUGGGGGAGGGGCAGGCGGAAUGCGUGGUGUAGCGGUGAAAUGCGUAGAUAUCAGGCAGAACACCGAUGGCGAAGGCAGCCUGCCGG
RNAcentral lists this ribosomal RNA (376 nucleotides) under uncultured bacterium. RNAcentral describes it as "partial 16S ribosomal RNA". It matches the Rfam family "Bacterial small subunit ribosomal RNA", at positions 338 to 732 of the family's 1533-position model. The record is from RNAcentral.